RNAcentral lists this small nucleolar RNA (92 nucleotides) under Oryza brachyantha (malo sina). Its description in RNAcentral is "Small nucleolar RNA R16". It matches the Rfam family "Small nucleolar RNA R16". From Rfam's summary of the family: snoR16 is a member of the C/D class of snoRNA which contain the C (UGAUGA) and D (CUGA) box motifs. Most of the members of the box C/D family function in directing site-specific 2'-O-methylation of substrate RNAs. Lineage: Eukaryota; Viridiplantae; Streptophyta; Magnoliopsida; Poales; Poaceae. The record is from Rfam by way of RNAcentral.
GCAGGCAAGUGAUGUGAAAAUAUAUAUGCUAGACACUCAUUGGAUUUUUCCAUGUGUGGACCAAUAAUCUCCGCUUAUUAUCUGAUGCCUCU